This 76-nucleotide microRNA precursor is filed under the name Schistosoma mansoni. Its description in RNAcentral is "mir-3492 microRNA precursor family". It matches the Rfam family "mir-3492 microRNA precursor family". The record is from Rfam by way of RNAcentral. Lineage: Eukaryota; Metazoa; Platyhelminthes; Trematoda; Strigeidida; Schistosomatidae.
AGCCUUCUGUAUCCGUGCUGAGAUUUCGUCAUACACCAAACCACAAGGGCUGAUGAGACUGAAGAGUAUAAAUACU